This 258-nucleotide ribosomal RNA is filed under the name uncultured bacterium. RNAcentral's name for it is "partial 16S ribosomal RNA". It matches the Rfam family "Bacterial small subunit ribosomal RNA", at positions 1243 to 1500 of the family's 1533-position model. The record is from RNAcentral.
AGGGAAGGCAAGACCGCGAGGUGGAGCAAAUCCCUAAAAGCCAUCCCAGUUCGGAUUGCAGGCUGCAACCCGCCUGUAUGAAGUUGGAAUCGCUAGUAAUCGCGGAUCAGCAUGCCGCGGUGAAUACGUUCCCGGGCCUUGUACACACCGCCCGUCACACCAUGAGAGUCGGGAACACCCGAAGUCCGUAGCCUAACCGCAAGGGGGGCGCGGCCGAAGGUGGGUUCGAUAAUUGGGGUGAAGUCGUAACAAGGUACC